This 387-nucleotide ribosomal RNA is filed under the name uncultured bacterium. Its description in RNAcentral is "bacterial SSU rRNA". It matches the Rfam family "Bacterial small subunit ribosomal RNA", at positions 28 to 433 of the family's 1533-position model. The record is from RNAcentral.
GACGAACGCUGGCGGCGUGCUUAACACAUGCAAGUCGAGCGGUAAGGCCCUUUCGGGGGUACACGAGCGGCGAACGGGUGAGUAACACGUGGGAAUCUUCCUGUUGGUUCGGAAUAGCUCAGGGAAACUUGGGGUAAUACCGGAUAAGCCCGAGAGGGGAAAGAUUUAUCGCCGACAGAUGAGCCCGCGUCUGAUUAGCUAGUUGGUGAGGUAAUGGCUCACCAAGGCGACGAUCAGUAGCNGGUCUGAGAGGAUGACCAGCCACACUGGGACUGAGACACGGCCCAGACUCCUACGGGAGGCAGCAGUGGGGAAUAUUGGACAAUGGGCGCAAGCCUGAUCCAGCCAUGCCGCGUNAGUGACGAAGGUCUUCGGAUUGUAAAGCUC